AAACCAGCACCUCAAGUGGUCAGGAGGAUUAUUGGGCCUAAAGCAUCCGUAGCCGGCUCUGUAAGUUUUCGGUUAAAUCUGUAUGCUCAACAUACAGGCUGCCGGGAAUACUGCAGAGCUAGGGAGUGGGAGAGGUAGGCGGUACUCGGGAGGAAGGGGUAAAAUCCUUUGAUCUCUCGAUGACCACCUGUGGCGAAGGCGGUCUACCAGAACACGUCCGACGGUGAGGGAUGAAAGCUGGGGGAGCAAACCGGAUUAGAAACCCGAGUAGUCC
RNAcentral lists this ribosomal RNA (274 nucleotides) under uncultured bacterium. RNAcentral describes it as "partial 16S ribosomal RNA". It matches the Rfam family "Archaeal small subunit ribosomal RNA", at positions 473 to 747 of the family's 1478-position model. The record is from RNAcentral.